AACGAACGCUGGCGGCAUGCCUAACACAUGCAAGUCGAACGAGACCUUCGGGUCUAGUGGCGCACGGGUGCGUAACGCGUGGGAACCUGCCUUUAGGUUCGGAAUAACUCAGAGAAAUUUGAGCUAAUACCGGAUAAUGUCUUCGGACCAAAGAUUUAUCGCCUUUAGAUGGGCCUGCGUUGGAUUAGCUAGUUGGUGGGGUAAAGGCCUACCAAGGCGACGAUCCAUAGCUGGUCUGAGAGGAUGAUCAGCCACACUGGGACUGAGACACGGCCCAGACUCCUACGGGAGGCAGCAGUGGGGAAUAUUGGACAAUGGGCGAAAGCCUGAUCCAGCAAUGCCGCGUGAGUGAUGAAGGCCUUAGGGUUGUAAAGCUCUUUUACCCGGGAUGAUAAUGACAGUACCGGGAGAAUAAGCCCCGGCUAACUCCGUGCCAGCAGCCGCGGU
RNAcentral lists this ribosomal RNA (447 nucleotides) under uncultured bacterium. RNAcentral describes it as "bacterial SSU rRNA". It matches the Rfam family "Bacterial small subunit ribosomal RNA", at positions 29 to 521 of the family's 1533-position model. The record is from RNAcentral.